GAUGAACGCUAGCGGCAGGCCUAAUACAUGCAAGCUGAACGGCAAGAUUUGUAGCAAUACGAGUCCUAGAGUAGCGUAAGGGUGCGUAACACGUAUGCAAUCUGCCCGCAACAGGAGGAUAGCUUAGCGAAAGUUGAGAUAAGACUCCAUAAGAUCACGAGAGGGCAUCUGAUUGUGAUUAAACUACAAGGGGUUGCGGAUGAGCAUGCGUCUGAUUAGUUAGUUGGCGGGGUAACGGCCCACCAAGACGAUGAUCAGUAGGGGAACUGAGAGGUUCGGU
RNAcentral lists this ribosomal RNA (280 nucleotides) under uncultured bacterium. RNAcentral's name for it is "partial 16S ribosomal RNA". It matches the Rfam family "Bacterial small subunit ribosomal RNA", at positions 28 to 305 of the family's 1533-position model. The record is from RNAcentral.